CCUACGGGGGGCAGCAAUUAGGAAUCUUGCGCAAUGGGGGAAACCCUGACGCAGCGACGUCGCGUGGAGGAUGAAGGUCCUCGGAUCGUAAACUCCUUUUAAGAGGGAAGAAUUUUGACGGUACCUCUUGAAUAAGCCCCGGCUAACUACGUGCCAGCAGCCGCGGUAAUACGUAGGGGGCGAGCGUUGUCCGAAGUUACUGGGCGUAAAGCGCGCGUAGGCGGUUCUUUAAGUCUGGGGUGAAAGGUUCAGCGCUCAACGUGAACAGUGCCUUGGAUACUGGAGGACUUGAGUCCGGGAGGGGGAAGCGGAAUUCCUGGUGUAGCGGUGAAAUGCGUAGAUAUCAGGAGGAACACCGGUGGCGAAGGCGGCUUCCUGGCCUGAGACUGACGCUGAGGUGCGAAAGCGUGGGGAGCGAACGGGAUUAGAUACCCCAGUAGUC
This 442-nucleotide ribosomal RNA is filed under the name uncultured beta proteobacterium. RNAcentral's name for it is "bacterial SSU rRNA". It matches the Rfam family "Bacterial small subunit ribosomal RNA", at positions 338 to 795 of the family's 1533-position model. The record is from RNAcentral. Lineage: Bacteria; Pseudomonadati; Pseudomonadota; Betaproteobacteria.